Molecule: ribosomal RNA, 497 nt
Filed under: uncultured bacterium
Lineage: Bacteria
Description: partial 16S ribosomal RNA
Rfam family: Bacterial small subunit ribosomal RNA
Source: RNAcentral
GAUGAACGCUGGCGGCGUGCCUAAUACAUGCCAGUCGAGCGAACAGACGAGGAGCUUGCUCCUCUGACGUUAGCGGCGGACGGGUGAGUAACACGUGGAUAACCUACCUAUAAGACUGGGAUAACUUCGGGAAACCGGAGCUAAUACCGGAUAAUAUAUUGAACCGCAUGGUUCAAUAGUGGAAGACGGUUUUGCUGUCACUUAUAGAUGGAUCCGCGCCGCAUUAGCUAGUUGGUAAGGUAACGGCUUACCAAGGCGACGAUGCGUAGCCGACCUGAGAGGGUGAUCGGCCACACUGGAACUUGGACACGGUCCAGACUCCUACGGGAGGCCGCAGUAGGGAAUCUUCCGCAAUGGGCGGAAGCCUGACGGAGCAACGCCGCGUGAGUGAUGAAGGUCUUCGGAUCGUAAAACUCUGUUAUUAGGGAAGAACAAAUGUGUAAGUAACUAUGCACGUCUUGACGGUACCUAAUCAGAAAGCCACGGCUAACUACGUG